This 182-nucleotide ribosomal RNA is filed under the name uncultured bacterium. RNAcentral's name for it is "partial 16S ribosomal RNA". It matches the Rfam family "Bacterial small subunit ribosomal RNA", at positions 1311 to 1500 of the family's 1533-position model. The record is from RNAcentral.
CCCGACUCCAUGAAGCUGGAUUCGCUAGUAAUCGCGCAUCAGCCACGGCGCGGUGAAUACGUUCCCGGGCCUUGUACACACCGCCCGUCAAGCCAUGGAAGCCGGGAGUGCCUGAAGUACGCGACCGCAAGGAGCGUCCUAAGGUAAAACCGGUGACUGGGGCUAAGUCGUAACAAGGUAGC